Molecule: transfer RNA, 71 nt
Filed under: Stegodyphus mimosarum
Lineage: Eukaryota; Metazoa; Arthropoda; Arachnida; Araneae; Eresidae
Rfam family: tRNA
About the family: Transfer RNA (tRNA) molecules are approximately 80 nucleotides in length. Their secondary structure includes four short double-helical elements and three loops (D, anti-codon, and T loops).
Source: Rfam by way of RNAcentral
GUCCUCGUGGUGUAACGGUAGCACACUCGGCGCGUAUUCGAGAGGUCCAGGUUCGAGUCCCGGAAAGGACA